This 376-nucleotide unclassified non-coding RNA is filed under the name Hevea brasiliensis (rubber tree). Lineage: Eukaryota; Viridiplantae; Streptophyta; Magnoliopsida; Malpighiales; Euphorbiaceae. The record is from RNAcentral.
AUGAACUUUACUUUUAUAGAAUAAUCAAUUGAAUUCUGACUUUGCAAAAUGCAUAUUUGCAUAACAAUAUUUUCAUCUGCCGAAGGGAAGCAUUUAUGUCUCUUAUACUUUUGGAGUAGUUGCACACACUGGCCAAUCUCUCUUCUUUAUGUUACCUCUCCACAUCCCCUAGGUAAUUGGUCAAGCCUUCUCUAUGUUUCAUCUUGAUCUGUAACUUUGAGGAAUCAUUUUUUCACCCGAUUGGAAAGAUUCAUCGUACUAUUUUCGAUGUAAAAACUAUAAGACUCAUCUACAAGAGUAGCAGAUUGAACUCGUGUUGUCUGCAGAAUCAUAACAGCCCACUGAAGAAUGCUGAAGAAAAAGAAGUGAACUUUGG